Oesophagostomum dentatum (nodular worm) is the source of this 72-nucleotide non-coding RNA. The record is from the annotation of a GenBank genome assembly. Lineage: Eukaryota; Metazoa; Nematoda; Chromadorea; Rhabditida; Strongylidae.
GUGGACCAUGGCCUAGUGGUUAGCGCAUUGGACUACUAUGCGGCAGGUGGCGGGUUCGAUUCCGCCGCCACU